CCGCCCAGCGGCCGCACCAGCCCGAAGUCGGCCACCUUGAUGGUGCGCGGGGAGGCCAGCAGCAGGUUGCGUGUGGCGAGGUCUCGGUGCACCAGCCCGCGGGCCUCCAGGUCCUCGGGCCUGACAAAGUCGAAGUGCUCCGGCCGGGUAACAUUAAGUUCCUCGAGGAUGGGUCGGUAAAACUGGGCCAGCUGGAUGUCCCGGAGCAGCCGAAGCAGCCACAGCGAACCCACCUCGGGGAGCAUGUCUGCACAAGGAAUCCCUGAGGAUGACGCACCCACCUCAACACAUAGCCCAGGGGGUCCCAGGGAGGAAGUCACAAGUCUCAGGACAUCUGGCCUGUCUCCUUCUGUUCUGAGGCAGGAUGUGUGAGCUAUCCCCAGAGUCCCUUGGAGGGAAACAUCUACCCCAUCUGGGUAAGCACACGGGAUAUUCCAGCACUGGUGGGAAA
Molecule: long non-coding RNA, 451 nt
Organism: Leptonychotes weddellii (Weddell seal)
Lineage: Eukaryota; Metazoa; Chordata; Mammalia; Carnivora; Phocidae
Source: RefSeq, a predicted model, not a curated record